GGCUGUAGCUCAGUGGCAGAGCACUUGCCUAGCAUGUACGAAGCGCUGGGUUCGAUCCUUAGCACCA
Molecule: transfer RNA, 67 nt
Filed under: Marmota monax (woodchuck)
Lineage: Eukaryota; Metazoa; Chordata; Mammalia; Rodentia; Sciuridae
Description: tRNA.Ala
Source: RNAcentral